RNAcentral lists this transfer RNA (48 nucleotides) under Equus caballus (horse). Its description in RNAcentral is "partial transfer RNA-Pro". The record is from RNAcentral. Lineage: Eukaryota; Metazoa; Chordata; Mammalia; Perissodactyla; Equidae.
AACGUUUUCCCCCUUUUCUGGUUUACAAGACCAGGGUAAUGUGCGAAC